UAAAAGUAAUACAGCAGUGAAGGAAAACUAGGCGAAAGGAGAAGAAAAACGAUUUUACCACUCAGAAAUAACUCCUUUUAAUGCUGUGUUCUUUCAGUGCAGGGGUCCUCAAACUUUUUAAAUAGGGGGUCAGUUCACUGUCCCUUAGACCAUUGGAGGGCCGGACUAUAGUUUUAAAAAAACCUAUGAACAAAUUCCUAUGUACACUGCACAUAUCUUCAAAAAAAACAAAAUGGGAACAAAUACAAUAUUUGUAUUUGCAUGUGGCCCGCGGGCCGUAGUUUGAGGACCCCUGUUUCAGUGCCUCCCCCCUUUUUUGUAUAUAAACCCCCACUUAUUUACACUUACAUACACAUAUUAUGUAUAUGCACAUAUAAAAUAUGUUUUUGUUUUUUUAAGUAGAAAUGGGGUCAUAUUUGCUUUUUAUUUUGAUGUGUAAAGGCUGACAAUCAUAUGAGGCGGCAGGUUAUCAUAUUUGUUUUCCAGAUGAGGACACUGAGGUACAAGGGAACAAACCAGCACUCCCAUGUCACCCUGCUGGUGGCAGCUGCUGGGACUGGACGCCAGGCCUCCUGGUUUCUGGUCACUACAGCCAGCCUGAGGCGGGGACACUGUGUUCUGCCUUUCAGGGGUUGGGGUUCUCAGCAGACAGCUGUAUGCCACAGGUGGGCACGAUGGGCCCUUGGUGAGGAAGAGCGUUGAGGUUUAUGAUCCUGGAACAAACACCUGGAAGCAGGUGGCAGACAUGAACAUGUGCCGACGCAAUGCAGGGGUCUGUGAAGUGAAUGGGCUCCUGUAUGUGGUUGGAGGGGAUGAUGGAUCCUGCAACCUGGCUUCGGUGGAGUACUACAAUCCUGCCACUGACAAAUGGACGCUGCUGCCAACCAACAUGAGCACGGGGCGGAGCUAUGCAAGUAUUGCUAUGAUUCAGAAGCCCUUGUGACCCCCACCUCCCACUUCCAGGACGUGGGGUGAGGGAGGGGUGCUGCCUGGGACUCAAAAGAGAGGGGUCAUGAUGGCUGGAUCCCACUUGGCUGGAUCCCACUCGCUGGGAGAGUCUGCAGUGGAGUGAGAACCGCCCUCCUCUGACUUGGCAGAGUGGAGUCUGGAGUGAAGACUGGGCCCCACCUCAUGCACCUCUGCGGGUGUUUGGCCUCUACCCCGAGCAGUGGGUUCUGGUAGCUUUGGGCUACAGGGAGAACGUGUGUCUGAGAAUGUGGAUGUAUGUGUGUGUGUGUCAGAGAGAGUGUUGUGUAUAUGUGUGUCUAGAACAUGAUAUCUCACUAAGUUUGGGGUGGGGUGUGACAGUCUACUGGAUUUCUGAACUACUGAUCCUUCCGCUGUGCUAAAAAUCAAAUCACAGACACUCUCUUCGUGUGGGCACCUGAGACUACUGCCACCUCUGUCUCCUGGAGGGCAGGGAUGCCAAGAAAUGACUGGCAGGAGAGGCAGUGCUCUGGCCAUGCCCACAUGCUGGCCUUGACUCUGGCACUGUCGGCAGAAGAGAUGAGCAUUCUCGAAGCUGCUCUGUGACCUCCCUGUGCUAGAACUAGGAGCAAGCGGGUGCCCUGCCCCUCAGCUGGCUCUUCCUUGGUCUCUCCUACAGGAAGCACACAAGAGCUGCUCAGUCUUUGGACCACUGGUUUUUGAUGUCAUGAAUUCCAGGUUUGGGAAGUUUGUGUCUCUUCAGCUAGCUCUUCAGAAAAGCCCCAAGUAACACACUAGGAAAAAAUAUACGAAAAACAAAAACCAAAGUGGGAAGGCUUCAGUCCCUGCCCACAAAGGUCUCAGAGAGAAUCCUACUUCUGGAUUUUUCCAGGAUAUGCAAGUCCCCAUUAUAUUUAUUAUCCAGAAGUAAUUAUUCCCAACAUCCUUUUUACCAUCGAAAGUGUUCUGAUAUGGAGGAUAAGUCACCCUACCUCCAACCCACAGCCUGGUUUGUCCUGCACCGGAUGGGGUCGCAUGUGCUUCAGACGGUCAUGGAUGGAAGGAGUGUACCAGCUGGGCUGCUCGUUGGCACUUCGUGAUGGUGGUCAAGUCUGUCUCAGGUCCUUGUCUUCCUUUCCUUGUGCUCUGCACCCUCUCUCCAGCCCUCAGAACACUCCCCUCCUCCUUGCUUCCCCUGUGGGGAAGGAGAUGGUAGGCUCCGGAUGUGUGAUCUCUCUCAGGGGGACCUACAUUUUAAGAGAGGAGCUAAAGAGAAUUUUGCUAGUCCACAGGUAAAAGUUAUUAAAGACAGAACUUCAAGAAUCUGCAGGGAGGUAUUUGAGGGGGCACAUAGUCAUUUGCAUGAAAAAUAACCUUAAAGCUGUGCUGCUCCUAAAUUAGCAAGUUGCUUAUGUUGGGAUUUCUGGCAUAAGGACGGGAGGUCUUGUGUCUGGGGUUUAACCUUCCAUGAUGUUAGGGUCCGCCCAGAGGGAGCCGAGGGGCUUAUGAGCCUGAUACUGGACUUUUGAUACAUCUGGGCUCCUUCCAAGCAGAUGUUGUAGGAGACCAGCAUUCCCUCCACCUCAUGCUCACAAUUGGAAACGCAGGAUCUUCCCCGCUAUUUGGCCACUUUGUGUAUUUACAGGAUAUUGUGCACUAAACACUGAACUCUCUUGAAGAUGAAACUUCUGAUGUUGAGCAGAUGUCAUUUCAAUGAGACAUUUGGAGAGGACCAAGGCGCCCAGAAUUUCUUGGGAAGAGGCCAGAAAUACCAGAUUUGGUGGGGCCGGGAGAAAUGCCUCCAGGGGAGUUGGGGCGCACUUUGAGUUGGUGCUCGGCUCUCACUGGCACGGAGGCACGGAGACAUGGAGACACGGAGACAUGGAGACAUGGAGACGGCUAGUUCUAGAGCUCUGCCUGGCUCUGGGUUGGAAGCUGAUGGAAUGAGCUUUUUGUUCCAAAUGUUCUUCCUCCCUCUCUGAGGAAAGUUUGGGACUUAGUUGUGUGUGUGUGUGUGUGUGUGUGUGUGUGUGUGUGGUGGGGAUGAGGGUGAGGUUGGGUCUGAUGUGUGCUGUUCCCACAGCUGGUUUGAGAUCCCAACCCCUCCCCUACACGUAGCAGCUGGACUUCCAUUCUGUGUGGGAGAGGCUGCUGUUUGUGUGUCAUCUUCCCAGAGGGGCUCUUCCCUGAAAGCUAGCCAUGUUUCCUGCUUUUGGGCUUUUGCUAUUGAUUCCCCCUCCCUC
Molecule: long non-coding RNA, 3170 nt
Organism: Myotis daubentonii (Daubenton's bat)
Lineage: Eukaryota; Metazoa; Chordata; Mammalia; Chiroptera; Vespertilionidae
Exons: 3
Source: RefSeq, a predicted model, not a curated record